UCAUCCAUUUUCCCCUUAAUUGAAACCCCACCACCAAAUCCAUCACUUCUAUGGCUAAAUACAUCACCAACAACAACAACAACAACCUCUACAAAACCCUAACUGCACAAGCUUCAUAACUCUGUCUUUCUUUUCUUUUAGUUUUUUUUUUUUAAAAAAAAAAAAAACAAAAGGAAAAGAACUUGCUUUUUUCAUUAACUUGAAAAAUUAAAUGUUUGAGCCAUGGACAUAGCCCCAACAACAACUUCCACCACCAACACCAACACCAACAUCAACACCAACACAAAUACUCCAACUACAAAAUCACCUGACCAAGAAACUGAAACUCCAACUCGGAUCCAACCACCAAAGCCUUUAUCUUUCACAAACGGUGUCCUCAAGCGGCAUCACCACCACCACCACCACCAUCACCACCUUUCGGCUCCACCUCCUGUUGUCAUAACCUACAAAGAAUGUCUCAAGAACCACGCAGCUACUUUAGGUGGUCAUGCUCUAGAUGGUUGCGGAGAGUUCAUGCCUUCGCCUACAGCUACUCACACCGACCCAACUUCUUUAAAGUGCGCUGCCUGCGGUUGUCAUAGGAAUUUUCACCGCCGGGAGCCGGAAGAUUCUCCCCCUCCUCAUCAUCCUCAUCCUCAUCAUCAUCCAGUUAAUACCACCACAACAAUUGAGUACCAGCCACACCACCGUCACCACCCUCCACCUCCACCUCCGCAAGCAGCGCAACCAUAUCGAAGCCCCAAUUCAGCUUCUCCACCACCGAUCUCGUCUUCAUAUCCAUCUGCACCC
This 789-nucleotide long non-coding RNA is filed under the name Ricinus communis (castor bean). RNAcentral describes it as "long non-coding RNA (RCOM_LNC003153)". The record is from RNAcentral. Lineage: Eukaryota; Viridiplantae; Streptophyta; Magnoliopsida; Malpighiales; Euphorbiaceae.